Molecule: transfer RNA, 86 nt
Filed under: compost metagenome
Description: tRNA-Ala
Source: RNAcentral
GUAGCCGUCGGGCGCGGCCUUGGCCACGGCGUUGCUGGCAAUAGCGCCGCCCGCCCCGCUCUUGAUUUCCACCACCAGCGGCUGCU